Sapajus apella (tufted capuchin) is the source of this 4255-nucleotide long non-coding RNA. RefSeq lists it as uncharacterized. The record is from RefSeq and is a predicted model, not a curated record. Lineage: Eukaryota; Metazoa; Chordata; Mammalia; Primates; Cebidae. The transcript is spliced from 2 exons.
UUCUCCGUGUUGGCCAGGCUGGUCUUGAAUCCCUGACCUCAGGUGAUCCACCCACCUUGGCCUCCCAAAAUGCUGGGAUUAUAGGCAUGAGCCACCAUACCCCCCCUGCCUUGAGGAGCUAAGUUCUAAUAUGUGUUGCCUGUGUGUGAGCCCGUUCCCAUGAUGUACACAGGGCUGCCCCUACCACAUAGCCCCAGGGAGCACAGGGCAAUUGCCUGCCGUUUGGACCAGUCUGUUUCUCCUUGUAGGUCAAAGAGACACUUCUCAGCUAUUUUUCUCUCACUUGUAAAGUCACUGAUAGAGAGUAGGAUGGAUUUGGGUGGGGGAAGCCAAAUGAGUGAUGAAAGGAGGGUACCAUUUUGUCCCUAGUGUUGGUAGGGAGCAGCCAUAAUGCCUUCACACGGGUUCUCAGCAUGUUGCUGUCUCACUCCGUUUCUCAUGAUUGUAGAUGACGAUGCCAUUUAUGCAAUGGGGACUUUGCUUCUUGCUCUAAAAACAGUAUAUUGUCACCAACUUACCGGUGAGGAAGCCAAGAUUCACAGGGGCUAAGUAAUUUACCUAAGGUCCUAGACCCAGUAAGGACCCAAGCCAACGUCAGAACCAGCUCUGACAGCAGCUUCCAGCCCCUCCGCAUUUAUGAUGCCAUGCUGCAGGCCGUGGAACAGCAUUCGCCUUGUUCUGUUUAACUAUUCAAGAUGUGUAUUAAGCUGGCUUCUCUGUUUAAAUAUAGAAGAAAAGAAAGCUGCUGUCCUGUGAUCUGUAGACAUUUUUAAGAGGAAGUUGGAGGAGUGAGCAGCCUUUGCCCUUUGACAUGUUGGUCUGCUUUGGUUUCUGACAAUUAGAACGAAGGCACAUGUUUUCUUGGAGAAGGGUCCCUUUGUUUGGUGCCAUUAGCACGAGCUAAGUGACAGUUGGCAAGCCAUCUUUUUCCGCAGACAUUUGGGAGGCCCUGGGCGUACUGGCAGAUAGAACAGAAGAGAGUGGAGGCCUUGGGAAGACAGAGAAGUACGAAUUCAGAGUGCAGGAGAGGUGGGGUCCUGCUCCCCUGGCUUUGGCUCGCAAGGGCUACACAGAAAUGUUGGGAUUGGCUUGAAGGUUCUGAGGACCUUGCUUCUGGAGCUUUGGCAAAAUCCUGGCUCAGAGGAGUGAGUCAGGAUGGCAAGCAGGCUUGAUCACAGGAGGAAUGGAGGGAACGGAGGCCGCUGAACCUGGAAAGGAACAGAUUUAGUUAGAGGAGCCAGGCGCGGAAGACAUCAGGUAGUUGACGUGCUGCCACAGGGAGUAGUGGCCAAUCUUACUUCUCUCCUGGCUUUAGUGGGACAAGAGCCCAUGGCUGUGAGCCCCAGAAUGGCAGAAUUGGCUUCAGCAGGAGGAAGAGUGUAUUUGUGUCUCCCUAGAUGGAGUGGUUUGUGAGAGACACACUUAAUGCAUGUAUUCAUCUUCCCGAUCUAGCUUCUGCUAUGCCUUUCAUGUCUUUGUAAACCUCCGCAAAAUCUAACAAAGUUCAAAUAAGCAUUCAAAUAGUUUUAAUUAAUUGAUUAUACCUGUAGUAUGUUAGAUUUUGAGGCCAGGAAUCAUAUACAUCUAGUACAUGUUUAAGCUUCCACCACACUAAGCAAAUUGUUUUCAAACACAAAUGUGAAAAAAGACAGCAUCGGUACAUCUCCAGUAAUUUUAAAAGCAUGCAUCUGUCAUCGGCGACCACACUGGUCAGUGCAGAGCAGGCGUGCACGUGAAUCUCUGCACUGACCACAUCUGGGCAGAUUCUCCUCGCAGGGUUUCAGAUCUGAUCCAGACCCUGCUAGCCAUGAGUGCUGCUGUGAUUGGAACCCUUUUCUGACUUGCCUGUCAUGUGCUUUCUUCAUUUCUCUUGAAUCUUCGAUGUUUAUUUGGGGUUGAGUUAAGGCAGAAGUGAAUGCUACAGCACUUUUGUGUGCAGUGUGGGAGAGGUAGAGGACUAGAAAGGAAAGAAGGGCCAGGACGUUCUGCCGUGUGUCUUACAUAUUUAGAGAGAACCCCACCCCUAAGAAGCAACAAAUGAACAAUUUUUAAUUAGUCAAAGGCAAAUUAUGUGUACCAUUUUAUUUAUUUAUUUAUUUUUAAUAGAGACAGGGUUUCGCCGUGUUGCCCAGGCUGGUCUCAAACUCCUGGGUUCGAGUGAUCCUCCCACCUCUACGUCCCAAAGUGCUGGGAUUACAGGCAUGAGCCACCACACCUGGCCUGUGUGUCAGGUUUAAUCUGGAAAGCAGCAUUAUUGUCUCCGCUGGCUCCUUUGGAAGACUGGCGUGUAAUACUUGCUCGGAGACUGUGCUGUGCUUUGGGAGGCUGCCCAGGCUUCUUCAGGGAGCAGUGGGAUGGCCGCACUCUUCCCACUGUCCACCUGUCUUUGGCCACAGGAGUGGAUAGGUACAGCUCAGGGAGGCCUUGGAGGCUUGAGGGUUUCAGGGCCAGUGCAGGAGGAGUGCGGUCUCCUGUAGAGUGGAUGGUACAGCUCCUACAGAAUCCCCAGUGCUGCAAGCUACUGACCUAGCAAAUUGAAAGCCCCACACAGAUCAUUUGCAGGUUUAAUAUGCUCCUUUGUACUGUUUGCCAAAUGACGUCGUGAAAGACAGUGAUCUGUGUUGCGGUUGGGUGAGGAGUGCACAUGUGGAACUGAAGGGAACAUAUUUGGGUCCACGUCCGCAAGAGGCUGCAUUCUUAUACACAUACACCCCCGUUUCACUCAGAGCUUUUAAAACUUACCUGCCACUCAAGUGAUUGCAGGUCACAGCCAGCUACCAUGUGCAUACUUUAAGUCUCUUCAGAAGAAUCACAAAAUAAAUAAGCCAAAUCCUAAGACACACACACACACACACACACACACACACACGUGCGCACACACACAUACACACACACAUGUACAUUCUGUCUUUAUGGAAAAUGGCUGCUAAUCCAUGAUCAUUUUUUUUCUAGAAACAGGUUUUAUGAUAAUAUAGUAAAAAUAUUAAAUUAGAAAAUGCCUCACUAAGGGUUAUAAAACCUUACUACACUAGAGAUAGGUAAUUAUCCCCUCUACAGCCUAAAUGACAGUUUAAAAGAAAUAAAAAUGUUAGUGCUCAUUACUUGCUUUUGUAGGUUGCAAUAAAGGGUAAGUUAAAUUUUAAUUCAAGGAAGAGCCCCUGCUAUCGACCUUCUACCUCAGGUCCAAGUCCUGCUAAUUACUCCAGAGGCUGCUCCCCUGCACAAAACCAGUGUAACACGUUGUCGGCAGCGCACCCUCCCACUGCCCAUCAGUGUGUGUGUUGGGGGUGGGGGAUUACAGAUCAGUGAUUCACAUCUUGGUUCUUAAUGUGAUAGGGAGCAGGAAUUAUAUAUGUUAGAAAAAAAAGUUCAUUAUGCACAUAGCCUUAAGGGGACCUUAGGUAUGAAAGAGUACACUUACCCUGGAGAAUCCGAUGGAGACAAGGCCCACCUGGAGGACUGGUAGUUUAGCUUCUCCACGUGGCUAGAUCCCGGUUGGGAAGAUGCAGCCAGGGGACAGGUUCCUGCAGGAGAAGGCGGUGGCCCUCGGUCCCAUGGCACCUUUUUGUAGCCUCGUCUUUAGUUGGAGUUUUGUUUUUCUUGUGAAGGGGUGAGGGCUAUGGACGUGUUUUGCUUCUUUUCAGGAUGUCUUUGCCUUUUCCUAAGCACCGAGGCACCUGCCUAGGUUUGAGGGAAGAAUUGCUCAGUGUACCCUGCAGCUCAGUCUUCAGACUGGGGUAUGCAGAGACUUUCCAAGGGGAGGGUGGACACAGAUAGGAGUCAGUCUCUAGGCGUACACUUUCCUAAAACUGUCUGCCCCAGAGCAGGCCUGCGCUGGAGGGCACGGUCUCCUUUUACCCUCGUCCUUCUCCAGCCUUGAAAAGCCCCCCACCAGCCCGUCCUUAAAGUGACAGGGACCUCUAGCUACCACGGGAAAACCUCCAGGGCCUCAAACACAAAGACAGCUGGAAAUAAGGGUACAGAGAUUAAGAAAGGAAAUGCCUAAGGACUAGAUGACAAGCCCUGUGCGGGCCGGCUGUUCCUGUGUCUUCAUCUGCAGCACAGUCGCAUGAGAACAUGAGUUGAAUUGAGUUGUCAGUUGGUUGAUCAUUUGGUGACAAGUCACUAUGCAAUUUGUGUGUGUGUGUGUGCUGCAUAAUUCAGAAAGAAUGAAAAGAAUCAAGUGGCAUUGCUGUGACAGAACUCUAUCAUUCCUAUCUGCUUGUUUAUAUGGCAUUUCUCAGUGCUUACGUCU